GACGAACGCUGGCGGCGUGCCUAAUACAUGCAAGUUGAGCGCUGAAGGUUGGUACUUGUACCGACUGGAUGAGCAGCGAACGGGUGAGUAACGCGUGGGGAAUCUGCCUUUGAGCGGGGGACAACAUUUGGAAACGAAUGCUAAUACCGCAUAAAAACUUUAAACACAAGUUUUAAGUUUGAAAGAUGCAAUUGCAUCACUCAAAGAUGAUCCCGCGUUGUAUUAGCUAGUUGGUGAGGUAAAGGCUCACCAAGGCGAUGAUACAUAGCCGACCUGAGAGGGUGAUCGGCCACAUUGGGACUGAGACACGGCCCAAACUCCUACGGGAGGCAGCAGUAGGGAAUCUUCGGCAAUGGACGAAAGUCUGACCGAGCAACGCCGAGUGAGUGAAGAAGGUUGUCGGAUCGUAAAACUCUGUUGGUAGAGAAGAACGUUGGUGAGAGUGGAAAGCUCAUCAAGUGACGGUAACUACCCAGAAAGGGACGGCUAACUACGUG
Molecule: ribosomal RNA, 497 nt
Filed under: uncultured bacterium
Lineage: Bacteria
Description: partial 16S ribosomal RNA
Rfam family: Bacterial small subunit ribosomal RNA
Source: RNAcentral